AAUAAGAUAGUAUAUAUUAUUAUAUUUAGUUUCGACCUAAAAGAAGGCAACUCUUAUUA
This 59-nucleotide transfer RNA is filed under the name Stenostomum leucops. RNAcentral describes it as "tRNA-Arg". The record is from RNAcentral. Lineage: Eukaryota; Metazoa; Platyhelminthes; Stenostomidae.